GAAUGCUGACAUAAGUAACGAUAAAGCGGGUGAAAAGCCCGCUCGCCGGAAGACCAAGGGUUCCUGUCCAACGUUAAUCGGGGCAGGGUGAGUCGACCCCUAAGGCGAGGCCGAAAGGCGUAGUCGAUGGGAAACGGGUUAAUAUUCCCGUACUUGGUGUUACUGCGAAGGGGGGACGGAGAAGGCUAUGUUGGCCGGGCGACGGUUGUCCCGGUUUAAGCGUGUAGGUGUGUGUUCCAGGUAAAUCCGGUUCACUUUAACACUGAGGCGUGACGAC
Molecule: ribosomal RNA, 277 nt
Filed under: Salmonella enterica subsp. enterica serovar Typhimurium
Lineage: Bacteria; Pseudomonadati; Pseudomonadota; Gammaproteobacteria; Enterobacterales; Enterobacteriaceae
Also listed under: 1 other name
Description: partial 23S ribosomal RNA
Rfam family: Bacterial large subunit ribosomal RNA
Source: RNAcentral